AUGGCUGCGAGGCCCAUGAGCGCUCCAGCGUCCUGACCAGGGGAACGUUUUCCUUAGGGACCCGGAGGCGAGCGCUGGAGGGAGGGAUGGUUGCUAACGCAACUCUCUGCAGGGCAGACCCACCAGCACCCGAACGCAAACUACGGGCUGGAGCAGUCUAACAGAAACUCUCUCAAAGUCGCUCACGGGUUGCCAUUCUAGACCCAGCCUCACCAUUCCAAUGAAGACAUCAAUUAACUCAUGCACAGCCGCUACAAACGGGGAGCUCAUUGCCUGCAGGGAAGGACCCUCUACAGAGAGCUACCUGGGGGCUGGGAAGCAGGACCCCAGGCUGAGUCCUGCCUCUUGGUAGUGCCCCGCCCCGGCCAAUGCGGCUGUUAUAUCAAAGUACAUAAAAGUGAAGGCAAAGGGUGUCCAUGUGGGAUAGAGUGGCAUAGCUUCCUGGCCACCCAUGGUGCUCCAUUAUCUCUUCGAGGACCCCUUCUCCACGAGACCCUCCAGAUGGAGUCUUGCUCUGUCCCUCAGGCUGGAGUGCAGUGGUGCAAUCUCAGCUCACUGCAACCUCCAACUCCUGUGUUCAAGUGAUUCUCCUGCCUCAGCCUCCUGAAUAGCUGGGAUUACAG
This is a long non-coding RNA of Gorilla gorilla gorilla (western lowland gorilla), 623 nucleotides long. RefSeq lists it as uncharacterized. The transcript has 3 exons. The record is from RefSeq and is a predicted model, not a curated record. Lineage: Eukaryota; Metazoa; Chordata; Mammalia; Primates; Hominidae.